CAAAAGUAAUGAUGAAAUAGAAAGGGAAUAGUAAAAUGAGCAGAGGGAAAAAGGACAAGUGAGAGAACGACUUAAAUAUUUGAUGUGACAGUAAGAUAAAGAAAAACUUGGAGGAUUUAGGGACAUAGAUUCAGUUAUUGUACAAGACACCAACAAACUGAAAAACUAAAGGGUCGAGCAGGAAAGAGCUUUAAAAAAAAGUAGGUAAGACUCGGAAGGCAGUUCAUGCAACAAAGGGUGGCUACAGCCUUAAAAAAAUAAAUGUAUUCUGGUAUGCAAUGGAUGUACUUAUAGCACACCUCAAUAAUUAAUAGUAAACAAAUACUGAACACCUGAAUUAGCUUCAUUUUUGUAAAGUAUGUCUGUAGGAGAUACAAUAUACUGUGAGAUAAAUGAUAAGCAGGACAAACUUAAUAUUUUUAAACUAUGGACAAUCGGGUAGGGUCAGUAUCAUGUCUGUAGGUAGGUAGUUGGUCAGGUGAUGAGGAAAGGGAGGAACACAAAGAGGACAACUGGUGGCCGGGAGAACAAGAACAGGGUCUGAAAUGAUGGCAGAUGUUAGUAAAGCCAACAAACUAUUUUAAUCAAUCAGGCAACAAUAAAGGCUAUGGAAGAGGUCUGCAAACUGACGGUGACGGAAGCUGUGGCAAAAGUGGACCAUGGCCAGAUGGAGGAAAGGUAAGUGCAAAUGAUGACUUUUAUAGGAUGUUUCCCAAUUGAGCAAUCGAUGAAGAUGUGUUUAAUGUUUCUCAAGAGAUAAACAUUACCUUUUUACUUUUUUACUGUUUUGUAGUGAGAAAGAAGACAUUUUCAUGUCCAUUCGAAAUGAGAUGGAGAGACGGGAUUUGACAUGAAAGAAAAGAUGUUCAAAAAAUGUUUGUCCCUUUAUUUUCAAUAAAGGUUUCACAAAUCA
Dicentrarchus labrax (European seabass) is the source of this 913-nucleotide long non-coding RNA. RefSeq lists it as uncharacterized. The record is from RefSeq and is a predicted model, not a curated record. The transcript has 2 exons. Lineage: Eukaryota; Metazoa; Chordata; Actinopteri; Moronidae.